UACGUAGGUGGCAAGCGUUGUCCGGAAUUAUUGGGCGUAAAGAGCUCGUAGGUGGUUCGCUAAGUCGGAUGUGAAAUCUCCAAGCUCAACUUGGAGCGGUCAUUCGAUACUGGCGUGACUUGAGUACGGUAGGGGACCACGGAAUUCCUGGUGUAGCGGUGAAAUGCACAGAUAUCAGGAGGAACACCGGUGGCGAAGGCGGUGGUCUGGGCCGUAACUGACGCUGAGGAGCGAAAGCGUGGGUAGCAAACAGG
RNAcentral lists this ribosomal RNA (254 nucleotides) under uncultured bacterium. Its description in RNAcentral is "partial 16S ribosomal RNA". It matches the Rfam family "Bacterial small subunit ribosomal RNA", at positions 524 to 776 of the family's 1533-position model. The record is from RNAcentral.